This 956-nucleotide ribosomal RNA is filed under the name uncultured bacterium. RNAcentral's name for it is "bacterial SSU rRNA". It matches the Rfam family "Bacterial small subunit ribosomal RNA", at positions 16 to 916 of the family's 1533-position model. The record is from RNAcentral.
AUCAUGGACUCAGGAUGAACGCUGGCGUGCGUCGCCUAACUACAAUGCAAUGUAGAACGACUGAAGCUUGGUGACUUGCCACCGAGCGGAUGAGUUGCGAACGGGUGAGUAACGCGUUAGGUAACCCUGCCUCUUAGCGCUGGGGACUAACUAUUGGAAACGAAUAGCUAAUACCGCAUAAAAGUCGACCAUCGCAGUGAUCGUUGACAUUGAAACGGUGCAUAUUGCCAUCACUAAAGAGAAUGGACCUCGCGUUGUAUUAGCUAGCUUGGUGAGGCUAACGGCUCAACCAAGGCGACGAUACAUAGCCCGACCUGAGAGGGUGAUCGGCCACACUGGGACUGAGACACGGCCCAGACUCCUACGGGAGGCAGCAGUAGGGAAUCUUCGGCAAUGGGGGCAACCCUGACCGAGCAACGCCGCGUGAGUGAAGAAGGUUUUCGGAUCGUAAAGCUCUGUUGUAAGAGAAGAACGAGUGUGAGAGUGGAAAGUUCACACUGUGACGGUAACUUACCAGAAAGGGACGGCUAACUACGUGCCAGCAGCCGCGGUAAUACGUAGGUCCCGAGCGUUAUCCGGAUUUAUUGGGCGUAAAGCGAGCGCAGGCGGUUAGAUAAGUCUGAAGUUAAAGGCUGUGGCUUAACCAUAGUACGCUUUGGGAAACUGUUUAACUUGAGUGCAGAACGGGGAGAGUGGAAUUUCCAUGUGUAGCGGUGAAAUGCGUAGAUAUAUGGAGGAACACCGGUGGCGAAAGCCGCUCUCUGGUUCUGUAACUGACGCCUGAGGCUCGAAAGCGUGGGGAGCGAACAGGAUUAGAUACCUUGUUAGUCCAGCGCCGUUAACGAUGAAUGGCUAGGUAUUGGGUGCCUUUACGGAACUCUGAUGCCGCAGCUAACGCAUUAAGCACUCCGCCUGGGGAGUACGUCCGCAAGGUUGCAACUCAAAGGAAUUGACGG